CAGCUGGAAACAAUGAACCGCCAUUCUGCUGUUUUCGUCUGAGACUAGUAGAAACCUGACUGCUGUUGGUGCUGAUUGAAACCUGACUGCAUUUGGUGCUUUGGCUGGUAUCCUGCUGAUCACCAUUUCCAGUAUCCCCUCUGUCUCUCUCAAACAAAGCCAUUCCAUCUUUCUGUCCCCCUCGUCUAUCCUGCUCUGUCUAAUUGAAAAAGCCAUUCUAUCUUUCUCUCACUGUCUCCUAGAGCUCUAUCUAAUUUACAAGACCAAAUAUUUUGAUUCCUGCUCUACAAGAGCCCGAGUUUUGAACAGUGUUUUACAAGAGCCGAGUUUUGAACAGUGUUUUACAAGAGCCGAGUUUUGACCAGUGCUUGAAAGAGCCCGAGUUUUGACCAGUGCUCGAAAGAGCCCGAGUUUUGACCAGUGCUCGAAAGAGCCCGAGUUUUGAACAGUGCUCGAAAGAGCCCGAGUUUUGACCAGUGCUCGAAAGAGCCCGAGUUUUGAACAGUGCUCGAAAGAGCCCGAGUUUUGAACAGUGCUCGAAAGAGCCCGAGUUUUGAACAGUGCUCGAAAGAGCCCGAGUUUUGAACAGUGCUCGAAAGAGCCCGAGUUUUGAACAGUGCUCGAAAGAGCCCGAGUUUUGAACAGUGCUCGAAAGAGCCCGAGUUUUGAACAGUGCUCGAAAGAGCCCGAGUUUUGAACAGUGCUUGAAAGAGCCCCAGAUUUCACUACUGCUUUACAAGCUCUGUGGUUACUGGUACCACUUUUCUGGAUAUAAUUUUGUGAUAUUUGGUUGGCAAGCAAAAAGUGCCAACGAUUUUCUCCUAACUGAUCUUAAGAUUUAAAUAUAUAGGAGAAAACACUGAAAUUUAAUUUGUGAAAAAGAAAAGUGUUUCAAAAAAAUUGGAAAUUAGAUUAUAGAAAUUUAUUUUGAAUAGAAAAUAAAUUUGUUUUCAUAAGAAAUUUGGCUUUUUGACUGAGAUCACAGAAAAUCCAGAUCUCCAAAUAAGUUAAUAUUUGAAUACAGUAAAUACUCAGUGAAUAUUAGCAGAUAAAUAUUUACCAUAACUGAAUAAUUGGACUGAUCAGAAACAUUUGAAAAAUUUUCUUACCUUUGAUCUUGACUACAGUUUAGUACCCAGUCUGAGGUGUUUGAUUGGACAUAUAUAUAAACUUUAUUCAGUCACUGAGUGUAUAUUCAAGUGUUUUGCUGUUUUGUGAAUAUUUAAAUAAAAAGAGAAGACAUCUGUAAGGAGGACCUGCAGUUCUUUGGAGUGGUUGUUUCCUGUGUCAGCUCAACCAGACGGAGGAGAAAGCCUGCUGCUGCCAGAAGCCCUCACCUGCCAUCCUACUGCUACACCUGUGCUGCUGAUUGAAUCUACACCUUAAAAUAUAACAGAGUUUAUCACACAUAGUUCAGUUUGUUCUUAUUAAAUCUUUAUCAGUUAUUUUCUGCUGGUGAGUGAAAGUGCUUGAGAAUCAGGACAGAGUAGCUGAUACUGAAAUACUGAUAAAUAUUCUGUUAAUAUAAGUGAAAUAUAAAGUAUUUAAUAGAGCUGCACUGCAGGCUAACAGCUUUAUACUGAAGUGCUAUAACAAGUACAGAUAAACUGUUUUUGGCAUAGUACAACA
Molecule: long non-coding RNA, 1629 nt
Organism: Archocentrus centrarchus (flier cichlid)
Lineage: Eukaryota; Metazoa; Chordata; Actinopteri; Cichliformes; Cichlidae
Exons: 4
Source: RefSeq, a predicted model, not a curated record